Molecule: long non-coding RNA, 1450 nt
Filed under: Manacus vitellinus (golden-collared manakin)
Lineage: Eukaryota; Metazoa; Chordata; Aves; Passeriformes; Pipridae
Description: lncRNA (ENSMVIG00005009384.1)
Source: RNAcentral
UUGAUAGGGCUGGGACCAAUGUUGCUUCAAUUAAUUUAUUUUCUUUUAUAGCACAUGUUUCAGAGCACUUCAAAAGCUCGAUUCCCUAAUCUUUGGUAGAUCAGCAUGAGUCAGAAGCAUCUGCAGGAAGAGCGGGAAGGUGCCUGAGCAGCGUAUCCAGAGCAAGUAGUGGGCAUGCUGGUGCCAGAGGGAGCUCUGGCACUGCAGAGCCCAGGGGCACCAUGGACCAGCCCUGGCUGGGGAGAGAUCCUGGCCACGAAGGGACAGGUCCUGCCCUGUGUGGGUGCAACAGGCAAGUUCCAGGAGCUUCAGCGAAACAAAGAGGAGCGUCAUGGGUGCCAUGAGACCUGUAUUUUCACAGCAUUUCUGUCACUGCACCUGAUCCCAAACGCUGCCAUCAGCAAAGUCUGGGGCAGUUCCAAGCCCAAAGGGCCAGACCACACAGUGUGAGUCAACCAGAGAUGGGGCAGCCUCCUGUUAGUGGCUGGGAAGGGAGGGGUGAGCUCUGCCUGAGCUGAACACCCUCCAUCAGCACCGAAUACCCUAGUGGCAAAAAUAUUUCAUUAAUGUAAACUUAAAAUAGGGCUGGCAGUGUUUACCCAAAGUAGCAGCACGAAGCAGCAUCAUUGCAGGCAGCUGUGAGCUGCUGCAGGUGUAGCUGUGUGCCUGCACCGCUGCCACACUCGGGGGUUUUACCUACCCCGAGCCUGCUGUCACUCACCAGAGACCCCGCAGUCAGCUCUGCACGGUCACCUGGGGUUAGAGGCAGGGAGCACUAAUGCCCUUUGUUUCCCCCAGUAAAUUCUAUUUCCCUUCCCAUUGUGCAGAGCCGCUUGUCAGUGUAACCUUACACCCGGGGCGGGAGGCUUGGACAAAGGAACUUCGGUGGAGGCUGGCAAAUUACAGUCCUUUACUUGUGAAUGGGGACCUCACCAGAGAUGGGCUGAAGGAAAGCACCUGGUGUCAAUAAUUACACUUGAAAUGGGGGAAAAGGGCUGAAGGCAAGAGAAAGGCCAGGUGAUUGUCGUGGAUGGCAAAGGAAGGGCUUUUCAUGCGGGAGGAACAAACGCCCUGCUCAGGAGUCUGCUGGUGAUGGAAUGAAUAAUCUUUUCUCUUUUCCUGCUCAUUCUUUCCUUGACUUUUGGGGGGUUUUGUUCAUCCUCUGCUAUCUCCCCCUUUUGUUCUCAUUCCCAGAGCAACACCUGGAGGCAGGGACUGUCUCAGGAAAGGAACCCUAGGGUGGCUUAUUGCAACUGAGAUUGCAUUUCAAAUAACCUGUGUCUUAGUUUUUUCCAAGACCCCAUUGAUCUGCAGGCUACCUUUUAAAGGACUGAAGUAGGAAUUUGCUUUACCAGUCAUCCAAGCCGGAUUUCUUGGACCUGCAGCAACUCUGUGGCACUAAACUAAUGCUGUAAGUGAUGGUGGUGAUCCUUGACUUACCAGAGAUGUG